Molecule: long non-coding RNA, 677 nt
Organism: Amphimedon queenslandica
Lineage: Eukaryota; Metazoa; Porifera; Demospongiae; Haplosclerida; Niphatidae
Exons: 6
Source: RefSeq, a predicted model, not a curated record
UAUUAUUACACUGAUACACUUGUUUUUAGUGGUGAUUAUGCUGGGGCUUUAGUAAAUUAUGAGAAGGAUAUUACAAAUGAUCCAAAGACUACAGCUCAUGAUGACCUGUGUGUGGCUGGAAUGGCAAGAGCAUCACUUUAUACUGGUGACAUGAGAAGGGGAUUAAAAUUAGCUCAUGCUAGUCCUGAUAAGCAACUAAAAAAGAUUGUGCUGCCAUUCUUGAUAAUCUAAAAUUGUUUAAUGAAGCUGUUGCUUUAUAUGAACAAGCCGAAUGUUGGGAAGAAGCAGCUACAGCUUUCAUCAAAAUAAAAAAUUGGAAGAAAGUUGGUCAGUUAUUGUCUAUGCUACCAGAUGCUACUAAGCUUCAUGCACAGUAUGCAAAAGCUGCUGAGUCAGAUUGUCAGUAUAAAGCUGCUGCUGCUGCAUAUGAGAGAGCCAUGAAUUAUCAGAAUGCUACUAGGUACUGUAUACUGUGUGUGGGUUUUGUUGGGAAAUUCAUACUUUAGAGUGUAUUGAAAUUACCAGAUGAAGCAGUUUGUGUAGUAAAUGAAUCUCAAUCUAUUGAAGCAGCACAACUAGUUGCCAAGUUUUUUCAAAAAAUAAAUGAUUAUGCUUUGGCACUUCAAUUUCUUGUUCUCUCCAAGUGUAACGAUGAAGCAUUCAAUAUGGCUGAAGUA